Molecule: ribosomal RNA, 254 nt
Filed under: uncultured bacterium
Lineage: Bacteria
Description: partial 16S ribosomal RNA
Rfam family: Bacterial small subunit ribosomal RNA
Source: RNAcentral
UACGAAGGGGGCAAGCGUUGUUCGGAAUUACUGGGCGUAAAGGGCGCGCAGGCGGCCGAUCAAGUCAGAUGUGAAAGCCCCGGGCUCAACCUGGGAAUAGCAUUUGGGACUGGUCGGCUAGAGUUCGGGAGAGGAGAGUGGAAUUCCCAGUGUAGAGGUGAAAUUCGUAGAUAUUGGGAAGAACACCGGUGGCGAAGGCGGCUCUCUGGACCGAUACUGACGCUGAGGCGCGAAAGCGUGGGGAGCAAACAGGG